AUGUGGUUAAUUCGAUGCAACGCGAAGAACCUUACCAGGGUUUGACAUCCUGCGAAUCUCUUGGGAACAGGAGAGUGCCUUCGGGAGCGCAGUGACAGGUGGUGCAUGGCUGUCGUCAGCUCGUGUCGUGAGAUGUUGGGUUAAGUCCCGCAACGAGCGCAACCCACGUCUUUAGUUGCCAGCAUUCAGUUGGGCACUCCAGAGAGACUGCCGGUGAUAAACCGGAGGAAGGUGUGGAUGACGUCAAGUCAUCAUGCCCCUUACAUCCUGGGCUACACACGUACUACAAUGCUACGGACAAAGGGCUGCAAGUUCGCGAGGACAAGCAAAUCCCAUAAACCGUGGCUCAGUUCAGAUCGUAGGCUGCAACUCGCCUACGUGAAGGCGGAAUCGCUAGUAAUCGCAGGUCAGCAUACUGCGGUGAAUACGUUCCCGGGCCUUGUACACACCGCCCGUCACACCAUGGAAGUUGGCCACGCCCGAAGCCGUUACUCCAACCCUUGUGGAGGAGGACGUCGAAGGUGGGGCUGAUGACUGGGGUGAAGUCGUAACAAGGUAACC
This 561-nucleotide ribosomal RNA is filed under the name uncultured bacterium. RNAcentral's name for it is "bacterial SSU rRNA". It matches the Rfam family "Bacterial small subunit ribosomal RNA", at positions 939 to 1501 of the family's 1533-position model. The record is from RNAcentral.